AUGAUCCUCAAUGUCAUCAAGUUUUAUGAAUCCACCUGCUACGGAGGCUGCUGGGAUCUCACAAGACAGUGCGGCUGGUCUGGCUGGUACAACAAAGUGCUUGGUCCUGGCACAAUUCUCAGGGUUACAGAUAAAAGUGCCAAUGAAGACACUUCCCCCAAGCCCACAGUUUUUCUUCCUUCGAUUUCUGAAAUAAAAAUCCAUAAGGCUGGAACAUAUCUUUGUCUUCUCGAGGAUUUUUUUCCUGAAAUUAUCAAGGUAGAUUGGAAAGAAAAGAAUGACCAAACAGUUCUGCAAUCCCAGCAGGGAAACACUAUGAAGACUAAGGACACAUACAUGAAAUUCAGCUGGCUGACCGUGACUGGAGCGUCUAUGGAUAAAGAACACAAAUGUAUUGUCAACCACGAGAGUGAUAGAGGAGGGAUUAAUCAAGAGAUUCUUUUUCCUUCGAUAAAUGAAGAUUUGGUAGCGAGGAUGGAAUCUGAUGUUGACUCCGAAGGGCAUUCAGAGGCAAAGCAAAACACAGAGGUGGUAACUGUGAGCCCUCUAAGUUCACGAUCUUUCCCACCUGGCGCAAGCACUGUGGAACUCGUUGCUCUUAACUCCACAGAAGCUUCCCUGGAUGAUGAAUAUGACCCCCUGCAGCUGCAGCUCAUGAACACCUCUGCCUACUAUACCUACCUCCUCCUCCUCCUGAAGAGUCUGACGUACUCCAUCAUCAUCACCAUCUAUCUGCUUGGGAGAUCAGUGCUCAAUGCUGUAUCCUUGAACUCUUCUUUAUCCAGAUGAUUCCCUGGAAGCACACAUCCUUGCUACCUGAAUUUCGUACUGUUUAUCAUAGUAAACACAAUAAAAGCAAUCAAAAUUCUA
Non-coding RNA from Canis lupus familiaris (dog), 870 nucleotides. NCBI's taxonomy places the organism in Eukaryota, Metazoa, Chordata, Mammalia, Carnivora, Canidae. The record is from the annotation of a RefSeq genome assembly.